GAUCAAGAAGAGAUGAGUCUGUUCUGCUUUCAUCUGGAUCUUCAUCAUCAUUAGACGAGUAGUCUUGAGAUAUCAGCCGGAGACAAAAAAAAAAUAAGAGGAUAGUGUUAGUAAGGGAGACACGUGAAGAGAAUGUUUUUUGUAGACAACAGAAGAGAGAAGACAGAAAAUUACUUUUGGAGAGAAAGGAGGAAUAGAAUUAGACACAAUCCAGACUCAAACCUCAAUAACCUACAUGAGCACCAAGGCUCAAGAUCUGGAGCAAGUGUGCAAACUGCAUUUUUGUAUAAUUUUUUGAACAGAAACAUACUGUGAUGAGGAGGAGGGCGUUGCUGGGCCGUGACGCUGCAUGGCCGGUGCUGAAUCAGCUGAUCAGCAGGAGCGCGAGAUAAAGUGGUGCCGAAACCCGGGAGGGAGGAUGGAUGCGCUGUCGUGGAGUCCUCGCCGAUGCUAUCCCCAAGAGGAGUAGCUGCGGCCAUCUGCCUGGGGAUGGAGGGGUCGCUGCCGCCGGGGCAGGAGCGAGAAGGCGUUUGCCAGAGGGAAGAGGAGAGCUUGAGGACCGGGCGACAGCAUGUCCGGGAGCCGGCGAGCAAGUUCUUCUCUCUCUCUCCUCUCUCUCUGUGUCUCCGCUAGCCCUUUCCCUCUCCUCAUGCCUCCCCUCGUCUCUCCCAGAGGUUCGCAGGAGGCGGGGUGGAUCACCGGCUGACAGAAUGGCCAGAAGGGCAGCAUCUUCCCUCCAGAUAGGGGGGAGUUGAUCAGACCGGUGGUGCCCCGGCCUGAAUCGGGCGAGGGAGGAGUGUGACAAGCUGAAUCCGCUGAUCAGCGAGAGAAAGGGGUGCCGAGGCACCGGUUUGGGAGAGAGAGAGACGCAUGCGGCCGUGUUGUAUGUAUGUCGGUGUACUUAUGUUUUAUGUUGUUUUAAGUUCAUUUAUAUCAUUAAAGAUUAUGUUUACUGUCCAGUCGGUUCCCGCCUCCUCGUUGCCCAACUUUACCUGUUACAGAUCAAUGGUAGCCUCCAACAAACAUACAGCUUCUCAGCUGGGCUCUCUCUCUCUUUCAGUGGACUGGGCCAUCUUUUAUCUACCCCAACUCUCACUGUGAACUUGAAAAUGUUACUAGUCACAAUUCAUCUCAGGUGGA
Xyrauchen texanus (razorback sucker) is the source of this 1140-nucleotide long non-coding RNA. RefSeq lists it as uncharacterized. The record is from RefSeq and is a predicted model, not a curated record. NCBI's taxonomy places the organism in Eukaryota, Metazoa, Chordata, Actinopteri, Cypriniformes, Catostomidae. The transcript is spliced from 3 exons.